Molecule: long non-coding RNA, 429 nt
Filed under: Physcomitrium patens
Lineage: Eukaryota; Viridiplantae; Streptophyta; Bryopsida; Funariales; Funariaceae
Description: long non-coding RNA (PPAT_LNC009849)
Source: RNAcentral
UCAGAGCCCAGCCAAGUACUAAAAGUAGGUAAUGGUGCCACACUUAUAGUGCAGUCUUCUACUGCUUCCAUUUCUAUCGCAAUUGGUAUUUCUGACACUCCCACAACCAUUGGUGUUAUCACUGGUCUUUUUGCUAUUUGAAUUUGAAUUUUUCUUCCUUUGGUUUUACAUGGACCUAUAAUUCCUUUUUGUCAUUUCCGUAGGAGAUUUCUUAUGCAUAAUUGAUCUUGUCUUUCUUUUGCUUGUCGAUUAAUUCUUUGAUAAUCCUCCCCUUCAUGAUUAUUACUCAUAAUCUUUCAUUCUUCUUUACAAAAUCAAUACUACCUUGAAUUUUAACUCAUAUAUUUGUAACCUUAAAACUAGUUCUUCUCACAUUUUCAUUCAACAUAUAAUUCCAUCUCUCAAACAAUCAAUUUCUAACAUUUCAUA